RNAcentral lists this small nucleolar RNA (140 nucleotides) under Triticum urartu. RNAcentral's name for it is "Small nucleolar RNA Z247". It matches the Rfam family "Small nucleolar RNA Z247". Rfam says of the family: Z247 is a member of the C/D class of snoRNA which contain the C (UGAUGA) and D (CUGA) box motifs. Most of the members of the box C/D family function in directing site-specific 2'-O-methylation of substrate RNAs. Lineage: Eukaryota; Viridiplantae; Streptophyta; Magnoliopsida; Poales; Poaceae. The record is from Rfam by way of RNAcentral.
CCCGUCUCUGAUCCAGAGAUGGUCGACUACAUCCUAGCUGGUUUUGACUGUGACUACGAUCCAGUGCUUGCAGCGGUCGACGUCAUAAAAAAAUUCAAUCUCUGUUGGUGAUUUGUUUGCGCAGAUCUCUACCUUUGAUC